Molecule: ribosomal RNA, 253 nt
Filed under: uncultured bacterium
Lineage: Bacteria
Description: partial 16S ribosomal RNA
Rfam family: Bacterial small subunit ribosomal RNA
Source: RNAcentral
GACGUAGGGGGCGAGCGUUGUCCGGAAUUAUUGGGCGUAAAGCGCGCGCAGGCGGUCCUUUAAGUCUGAUGUGAAAGCCCACGGCUCAACCGUGGAGGGUCAUUGGAAACUGGGGGACUUGAGUACAGAAGAGAAGAGUGGAAUUCCACGUGUAGCGGUGAAAUGCGUAGAGAUGUGGAGGAACACCAGUGGCGAAGGCGACUCUUUGGUCUGUAACUGACGCUGAGGCGCGAAAGCGUGGGGAGCAAACAGG